RNAcentral lists this ribosomal RNA (748 nucleotides) under uncultured bacterium. RNAcentral's name for it is "bacterial SSU rRNA". It matches the Rfam family "Bacterial small subunit ribosomal RNA", at positions 28 to 770 of the family's 1533-position model. The record is from RNAcentral.
AUUGAACGCUGGCGGCAUGCCUUACACAUGCAAGUCGAACGGCAGCACGGGGGCAACCCUGGUGGCGAGUGGCGAACGGGUGAGUAACGCAUCGGAACGUGCCCAGUAGUGGGGGAUAACCAGUCGAAAGAUUGGCUAAUACCGCAUACGACCUACGGGUGAAAGCGGGGGAUCGCAAGACCUCGCGCUACUGGAGCGGCCGACGCUGUACUAGCCUAGUUGGUGGGGUAAAGGCUCCACCAAGGCGACGAUCAGUAGCUGGUCUGAGAGGACGACCAGCCACACUGGGACUGAGACACGGCCCAGACUCCUACGGGAGGCAGCAGUGGGGAAUUUUGGACAAUGGGCGANAGCUGAUCCAGCCAUGCCGCGUGCGGGAAGAAGGCCUUCGGGUUGUAAACCGCUUUUGGCAGGAACGAAACGGUGCCGACAAAUACUCGGCGCUAAUGACGGUACCUGCAGAAUAAGCACCGGCUAACUACGUGCCAGCAGCCGCGGUAAUACGUAGGGUGCAAGCGUUAAUCGGAAUUACUGGGCGUAAAGCGUGCGCAGGCGGCUAUGCAAGACAGGUGUGAAAUCCCCGGGCUCAACCUGGGAACUGCAUUUGUGACUGCAUGGCUAGAGUUUGUCAGAGGGGGGUGGAAUUCCACGUGUAGCAGUGAUUUGCGUAGAGAUGUGGAGGAACACCGAUGGCGAAGGCAGCCCCCUGGGACCUGACUGACGCUCAUGCACGAAAGCGUGGGGAGCA